UUUAGUUUGAAUCCCCGAAACUAGGUGAGCUACUUCGAAACAGUUUUAUGAACGAACCCGUCUCUGUCGCAAAAGAGUGGGAUGAUUUCUAAGUAGAGGCGACAAACCUACCGCACCUGGAGAUAGCUGGUUACUCAAGAAAAGAAUUUAAGUUCAACCUAAAGUUUUUUAAUUACACAAAACAAAACAUAAGACUUUAGAGCUACUCAAGUAAGGCACAGCUUACUUGAAUAAGGAUACAACCUACAACACAGGGUAAUGCUCGUAAACAAGUAAUCAGUGGGCCUAAGAGCAGCCACCUAC
Molecule: ribosomal RNA, 303 nt
Filed under: Mantidactylus majori (Ivohimanita Madagascar frog)
Lineage: Eukaryota; Metazoa; Chordata; Amphibia; Anura; Mantellidae
Description: partial 16S ribosomal RNA
Rfam family: Bacterial large subunit ribosomal RNA
Source: RNAcentral